RNAcentral lists this ribosomal RNA (509 nucleotides) under uncultured bacterium. RNAcentral describes it as "bacterial SSU rRNA". It matches the Rfam family "Bacterial small subunit ribosomal RNA", at positions 19 to 518 of the family's 1533-position model. The record is from RNAcentral.
AUGGCUCAGAACGAACGCUGGCGGCGCGUUUAAGCAUGCAAGUCGAGCGGCAAGGGCCUUCGGGCCCCUAGAGCGGCGGACGGGUGAGUAACACGUGGACAAUCUGCCCCCCGGCCCGGGAUAGCCCAGGGAAACCUGGAUUAAUACCGGAUGAGACGGGACCCGCGAUGGCGGGACCCGGGAAAGGCGCUGCGGCGCCGCCGGGGGAUGAGUCUGCGUCCCAUUAGCUAGACGGCGGGGUAACGGCCCACCGUGGCGACGAUGGGUAGCCGGCCUGAGAGGGUGGACGGCCACAUUGGAACUGAGACACGGUCCAGACUCCUACGGGAGGCAGCAGCUAAGAAUCUUCCGCAAUGGGCGAAAGCCUGACGGAGCCGACGCCGCGUGAACGAAGAAGGCCGUGAGGUUGUAAAGUUCUUUUCGGGAGGGGGAACAACCGUGGCAGGGAAUGGCCGCGGGAUGGCGUGAAUCCCGGAAUAAGCCCCGGCUAACUACGUGCCAGCCGCCGC